RNAcentral lists this ribosomal RNA (498 nucleotides) under uncultured bacterium. RNAcentral describes it as "partial 16S ribosomal RNA". It matches the Rfam family "Bacterial small subunit ribosomal RNA", at positions 899 to 1397 of the family's 1533-position model. The record is from RNAcentral.
ACUCAAAUGAAUUGACGGGGGCCCGCACAAGCGGAGGAGCAUGUGGUUUAAUUCGAUGAUACGCGAGGAACCUUACCUGGGCUCGAACGUAGUUGGACUAAGUGUGAAAGCAUUUAUUUCUUCGGAACUGACUACGAGGUGCUGCAUGGUUGUCGUCAGCUCGUGCCGUGAGGUGUUAGGUUAAGUCCUGCAACGAGCGCAACCCCUAUUCUUAGUUGCCAGCAUGUCAUGAUGGGGACUCUAAGAAAACUGCCUACGCAAGUAGUGAGGAAGGCGGGGAUGACGUCAAAUCAGCACGGCCCUUACGUCCAGGGCUACACACGUGCUACAAUGGCCGGUACAGAGGGCAGCUACACAGCGAUGUGAUGCGAAUCUCGAAAGCCGGUCUCAGUUCGGAUUGGAGUCUGCAACUCGACUCCAUGAAGUUGGAUUCGCUAGUAAUCGCGCAUCAGCCAUGGCGCGGUGAAUACGUUCCCGGGCCUUGUACACACCGCCCGU